UACGGGGAGAAAAGAAGUGAAACGCUCACAGUCACACUCAUAAAUGAGCAUUCAGACGCCAUAGUAACACGGUUUACUAAAAUAAGAAAGAAAGACCGGUUUGAAACAACGUGACGUCCAAAGCCAGAGGACCUCUGAAGGCUCAGGUGGAAGAUCUGAGGAAACAGCGCAAGGUCAAGAGCAGGAUUAUUCAAAGUCUGAAAGAGGAAAUUAAGACUCCUUUGUUCCACAGUGCACAAAAGAAGAAUGAGGUGGUGCAAGUAAGAAAGAAGAGAAAGUCAAGCAUUUGACCACUGCAAGAGGGUCUGCAAGAAAAGGCACACACACUUUGGUAAAAGUUGCAGGCCAGCGAGGAGAAAGUUAAUAGCCAGGGCUUAGAAGUCAGCCCGCUCAAGUCCAAAUUACAGGAAAAGACAGAACAAUCUCAACAGCUGCAAGAUCAAAUUCUCAAGCAGCAGGAGGCUCUAAGUAGGGCAAGCCAAACUCUCAAAGACACCAGGAAAGCAGCUGGCAAUAAGAUUUCGUCAGUAAUUUAAGCGGACGAAAUUGUCCCUGGCCGUCAGAAUGACUUUGCAGUUCUCCUCAAACGUCAGACCCAACUCUCCUCGUAGAAGAACUUGUCAAAUCUUUCAGUUCACAAAGUCUUAAUAAACCCGCUUCUCCAUAAAUAUUGGAUAUUUACUAGAGGCAAAAAAAAAAAAAACUGUAGCUGCCUCAAAGGAAUUACAGAAGACUACUGGAAAAAAAGGAG
Long non-coding RNA from Sinocyclocheilus rhinocerous, 751 nucleotides. RefSeq lists it as uncharacterized. Lineage: Eukaryota; Metazoa; Chordata; Actinopteri; Cypriniformes; Cyprinidae. The record is from RefSeq and is a predicted model, not a curated record. The transcript is spliced from 7 exons.